RNAcentral lists this ribosomal RNA (526 nucleotides) under Bacillus sp. Am 02. RNAcentral's name for it is "bacterial SSU rRNA". It matches the Rfam family "Bacterial small subunit ribosomal RNA", at positions 44 to 553 of the family's 1533-position model. The record is from RNAcentral. Lineage: Bacteria; Bacillati; Bacillota; Bacilli; Caryophanales; Bacillaceae.
GUGCCUAAUACAUGCAAGUCGAGCGAACAGAAGGGAGCUUGCUCCCGGAAUGUUAGCGGCGGACGGGUGAGUAACACGUGGGUAACCUGCCUGUAAGACUGGGAUAACUCCGGGAAACCGGAGCUAAUACCGGAUAGUUCCUUGAACCGCAUGGUUCAAGGAUGAAAGACGGUUUCGGCUGUCACUUACAGAUGGACCCGCGGCGCAUUAGCUAGUUGGUGGGGUAAUGGCUCACCAAGGCGACGAUGCGUAGCGACCUGAGAGGGUGAUCGGCCACACUGGGACUGAGACACGGCCCAGACUCCUACGGGAGGCAGCAGUAGGGAAUCUUCCGCAAUGGACGAAAGUCUGACGGAGCAACGCCGCGUGAGUGAUGAAGGUUUUCGGAUCGUAAAGCUCUGUUGUUAGGGAAGAACAAGUGCGAGAGUAACUGCUCGCACCUUGACGGUACCUAACCAGAAAGCCACGGCUAACUACGUGCCAGCAGCCGCGGUAAUACGUAGGUGGCAAGCGUUGUCCGGAAUUA